RNAcentral lists this ribosomal RNA (255 nucleotides) under uncultured bacterium. RNAcentral's name for it is "partial 16S ribosomal RNA". It matches the Rfam family "Bacterial small subunit ribosomal RNA", at positions 524 to 776 of the family's 1533-position model. The record is from RNAcentral.
UACGGAGGGUGCGAGCGUUGUCCGGAAUCACUGGGCGUAAAGGGCGCGUAGGUGGCCUGUGGAAGUCUGCGGUGAAAGCCCGGCGCUCAACGCCGGGUCGGCCGUGGAUACUCUCGGGCUCGAGCUUACUAGAGGCAGAUGGAAUUCCGGGUGUAGCGGUGGAAUGCGUAGAGAUCCGGAAGAACACCGGUGGCGAAGGCGGUCUGCUGGGGUAAUGCUGACACUGAUGCGCGACGAGCGGUGGGAGCAAACAGG